AGGCCCUGGGGUGUCACACGUGAGAUUGCAAAUCUCAAGAAGCAGGUUAGAGCCUGCCGGGGCUUC
Molecule: transfer RNA, 66 nt
Filed under: Trachycephalus coriaceus (Surinam golden-eyed treefrog)
Lineage: Eukaryota; Metazoa; Chordata; Amphibia; Anura; Hylidae
Also listed under: 1 other name
Description: tRNA-Cys
Rfam family: tRNA
About the family: Transfer RNA (tRNA) molecules are approximately 80 nucleotides in length.
Source: RNAcentral